This 661-nucleotide ribosomal RNA is filed under the name uncultured bacterium. Its description in RNAcentral is "bacterial SSU rRNA". It matches the Rfam family "Bacterial small subunit ribosomal RNA", at positions 8 to 662 of the family's 1533-position model. The record is from RNAcentral.
AGAGUUUGAUCAUGGCUCAGAUUGAACGCUGGCGGCAUGCUUAAUACAUGCAAGUCGAACGGUAACAGGUCCUUCGGGAUGCUGACGAGUGGCGGACGGGUGAGUAAUGCAUAGGAAUCUGCCCAGUAGUAGGGGACAACCUGAGGAAACUCAGGCUAAUACCGUAUAAGUCCUACGGGAGAAAGGGGGCCUCUUCUUGAAAGCUCUCGCUAUUGGAUGAGCCUAUGUCGGAUUAGCUUGUUGGUGGGGUAACGGCCUACCAAGGCGACGAUCCGUAGCUGGUCUGAGAGGACGAUCAGCCACACUGGGACUGAGACACGGCCCAGACUCCUACGGGAGGCAGCAGUAGGGAAUAUUGGACAAUGGGCGAAAGCCUGAUCCAGCAAUGCCGCGUGUGUGAAGAAGGCCUGCGGGUUGUAAAGCACUUUCAGUUGGGAAGAAAAUCUUUAGGUUAAUAUCCUAAAGUCUUGACGUUACCAACAGAAGAAGCACCGGCUAACUCUGUGCCAGCAGCCGCGGUAAUACAGAGGGUGCGAGCGUUAAUCGGAAUUACUGGGCGUAAAGCGUGCGUAGGCGGUUAAGUCAGUCGGAUGUGAAAGCCCAAGGCUUAACCUUGGAACGGCAUUCGAUACUGCUUAGCUAGAGUACAGUAGAGGGAAGC